GCCUCGCGAGACUUAGUGGCGUCAGACAGCGUCAUGUGACGCACCUCGUGAUCCUUUGCGGAAGAGGAAGGGAUUUCAUUAGUGACUACACGCUAACAUUGAUCUGCUUAAACUUUCCGCUUUUACCUUUCCUUCGCCGCCAUCAGCCCAGCAAUGGACGGAUCUGUCAGAGCAGCUUCAGACGCGGGACCGCCGGCUUAUAACAGAGGAAAUGAAAGCUCCCUGGUUUCAGCCCUCAAGACCCUGCUGUUCUUCACCAUCCUGAUGGUCACGCUGCCCAUUGGUCUCUACUUUGCAACAAAGGCGUUCCUCUUUGAGGGUUCCAUGAAGAUGUCAAGCUCUGACAGCUACUUCUAUGCAGCCAUUGUUGCAGUGCUCGCUGUGCAUGUGGUUUUGGCUUUGUUUGUUUAUGUGGCCUGGAACGAAGGGACGCCUAAAGGGAAGGGCAAAGACGAUUAAGGCAUGUCCUUAUCAGCUCGUUAGACCGGAGGAGACGGACAGACACGGGCAUGGAUCUGCAGCCCCCCCCCCCCCCCCCCCCCCCCCCCCACCAUGGGCUCCAGCACUAAACACAGCACCAUCUACCAACCAGACAGUUAGGGGAUCUGGUUCGCUCUUAGGCUUUAACACAAGGUUAAAGCAUGUAACUACCGUACUAUUCUCUGGUACGGGGGAGUGGAGACUGUUAGGUGUGUUGUUCACCGGCCUCAGCAGGCCCGCUUAUUGACUUUUUGUUCUCUUAAAAUGUUACUUUUGUUGACAGAGCUAUUUUUAGGAGGCUUUAUUAUAAGCUGCCAUUUAGCUAAGUGCUGUAAGUCCCUUUGCAGAAAGAGUUUACGUAAGAAAACAUCUUGGGUUUUGGGUGAUCCCAAAAUGCUCUACGUCCAUUCUGUCAGAAUUUGAACUGCUUAUUUGAGCAUUCUGUCCUAAAAUUUCAGUUCUUAUCUGCAAACAUUUAAAGAUGACUCUUAACUUCAAAAUAAACCCAUAAUGUGUGUGACUUUCAUGUUGUACUUUGGAUCAAAAUCUUCACGACUUCUUCUCUACAAAAUAUUCAGACUCAUCUGUUUGUCUUUGUAAACAAGUGUUUUGGAUUUUCCUGAACGUGUGUGUGUAAUGUAGCUCAGUGAUGUUUUGGAAAUUUAAAUUUGGAAAUUAUUGCAAUAACAUUGUAUUUGAAGAAACGUUUUGUAUUUAAGAUGUUUGGUGAUGUCAUGAAGUCGGUGUGAUAAAGAGGAGAAUGUUGACUUGCUCAAAUAAACUUAAUAACUCUAACUUUUUAGUUCACUGAAACCUAAUGCAGAUUUGUAUUUUUUGGAAAUGUUAAAUUGUGCAUGAAAAUGCUUACACAUUUGUUACGGUAUACAAUUCCCUGUAACGAACAUGGUACACUAAUGAUACAGAGAGAAUCAGAUGUGAUGUAGACAUCAUAGUCAUCAGGUUUCUUAUAUACUGUAUAUUUUGAGAUUAUAAUACAUGCAGUCUCAUACUGAAAAGGGUUGAGGUUAAUAUCUUGUGGCUUAGGCCUGCCACAUGUGGUCUAUAGCAGUGGCCUGCUAAAAUCAGAGUAUUUCUAUUUUGAGAAGAUGCUGUGAUGAAAUCUAGGAUGUUCUAUAUUAAAUAUUAUAUCUUUUAUAUAAGAGUGUAAUUUAAAAAAACCAAACGGCAUCACACAAAAAGCCAUGGAUUCCACUACCAUCUGUUGUGUAAGCCACACUAAAAUGGAUGCCCAGAAA
This is an RNA transcript of Etheostoma cragini (Arkansas darter), 1736 nucleotides long. It is a transcript of the gene named vacuolar ATPase assembly factor VMA21, with no coding region annotated. The transcript is spliced from 4 exons. The record is from RefSeq and is a predicted model, not a curated record. NCBI's taxonomy places the organism in Eukaryota, Metazoa, Chordata, Actinopteri, Perciformes, Percidae.